RNAcentral lists this ribosomal RNA (460 nucleotides) under uncultured bacterium. Its description in RNAcentral is "partial 16S ribosomal RNA". It matches the Rfam family "Bacterial small subunit ribosomal RNA", at positions 338 to 795 of the family's 1533-position model. The record is from RNAcentral.
CCUACGGGAGGCAGCAGUGAGGAAUAUUGGUCAAUGGGCGCGAGCCUGAACCAGCCAAGUAGCGUGAAGGAUGAAUGCCCUCCGGGUUGUAAACUUCUUUUAUAAAGGAAUGAAGUGAGGCACGUGUGCCUUUUUGUAUGUACUUUAUGAAUAAGGAUCGGCUAAAUCCGUGCCAGCAGCCGCGGUAAUACGUAGGAUCCGAGCGUUAUCCGGAUUUGUUGGGUUUAAAGGGAGCGUAGAUGGGUUGUUAAGUCAGGUGUGAAAGUUUGCGGCUCAACCGUAAAAUUGCAAUUGAUACUGGCAGCCUUGAGUACAGUUGAGGUAGGCGGAAUUCGUGGUGUAGCGGUGAAAUGCGUAGAUAUCACGAAGAACUCCGAUUGCGAAGGCAGCCUACUAAACUGCCACUGACAUUGAUGCUCGAAAGUGUGGGGAUCAAACAGGAUUAGAUACCCCUGUAGUC